RNAcentral lists this ribosomal RNA (478 nucleotides) under uncultured bacterium. Its description in RNAcentral is "partial 16S ribosomal RNA". It matches the Rfam family "Bacterial small subunit ribosomal RNA", at positions 28 to 507 of the family's 1533-position model. The record is from RNAcentral.
GAUGAACGCUAGCGGCAGGCCUAACACAUGCAAGUCGAGGGAGAAGCCCUUUCGGGGGCAGAAACCGGCGCACGGGUGCGUAACGCGUAUGCAACCUACCUUUCACAGGGGGAUAGCCCGAAGAAAUUUGGAUUAAUACCCCAUAAUAUUAUUGGAUGGCAUCAUUUGAUAAUUAAAACUGCGGUGGUGAAAGAUGGGCAUGCGUCCUAUUAGCUAGUUGGAGUGGUAACGGCACCCCAAGGCUACGAUAGGUAGGGGUCCUGAGAGGGAGAUCCCCCACACUGGUACUGAGACAGGGACCAGACUCCUACGGGAGGCAGCAGUGAGGAAUAUUGGUCAAUGGUCGGAAGACUGAACCAGCCAUGCCGCGUGCAGGAAGAAUGCCUUAUGGGUUGUAAACUGCUUUUAUAUGGGAAGAAUAAGGCGUGCGUGUACGUUGAUGACGGUACCAUAUGAAUAAGCAUCGGCUAACUCCGUG